RNAcentral lists this long non-coding RNA (957 nucleotides) under Oreochromis niloticus (Nile tilapia). RNAcentral's name for it is "lncRNA (ENSONIG00000027921.1)". Lineage: Eukaryota; Metazoa; Chordata; Actinopteri; Cichliformes; Cichlidae. The record is from RNAcentral.
UUGGCAGUGACAGCGAUGCCGUUCUGGUGCUUGGAAAAGCUCUCUGUCCUCUAAAUUUAGUCAGACACUUUUGUGAUGUGCUACUCUGAUUGGCACAGCUGGUUAACAGGGAAGAGAACAGUAAUGGGCCUGGCUCAGAGGAUUAUGAUGAAUCACUGUACUGUGUGAUUUAUACUCACCUUCACUCAUCUCCUUUGCAGCUUGUGCUGCGCUGGAGCUAUACAAAUGCAAAUAGCAGCCAUGCACUAAUAUGCCCUCUGUGACCCUUGUGCUUGUCUCGAUCUUCAAAAACUGCAUUAGAGCUGAGAAUGUGGGUAACAGAUGACCCUCAGGAGUACACUCAGAUGAAUGUUGUGUGUGUUUUAUUCAGGGGAACUGUGGAGAUCCAGGGGUGGUUGGUCCUGUUGGUCCACCAGGCCUGACGGGAUCAGCUGGAGAACCAGGCGUUCCAGGGCUGCCAGGUGCCAUGGGUCUGCCAGGGUUCAAAGGUCAUAAGGGGGAGAGCGGUGAACCUGGGUCUAAAGGAGCACAGGUACGGUGGCUGUUCUUCCCGACACAAUCAUAUCCAAACUAACCAGCUUCAUGAGAACAUACGAUCCAUCAUGACUGCACAGGCUCUAAGCUCCAUCUCAGCACACGUAGGCUUAGCUUAACUGAAGAACAGCACCAGUGAUGCAGCACUCCAUCAAUCUUGUCCUAGGGUCAAACAACCUUUAUAGAGCCUAGAGGUGUGUUUUUGACUCAUUUUCCAGCUAACAAAAACACAUCUGUAUGUGCCAUGCUAAUUCAUGCAGUGCUGGGGUUAUUCAAAUAUCCAGAAAAAGUGAGGGACCCUGUUGUUAAUCAUUCUGUUUCAUAACAACAUCGUUUUUAGCAAACUUAAAUACCCAGUGGCAGUAUUCGAAUAUGUGAAUGUGACGUCAAAGUUUCAGCUAAUAAAUGUGAAGCAACAAGGAG